CCUACGGGUGGCAGCAGUGAGGAAUAUUGGUCAAUGGGCGCAAGCCUGAACCAGCCAAGUCGCGUGAGGGAUGAAGGUUCUAUGGAUCGUAAACCUCUUUUAUAAGGGAAUAAAGUGUGGGACGUGUCCUAUUUUGUAUGUACCUUAUGAAUAAGGAUCGGCUAACUCCGUGCCAGCAGCCGCGGUAAUACGGAGGAUCCGAGCGUUAUCCGGAUUUAUUGGGUUUAAAGGGUGCGUAGGCGGGCCUUCAGGCCGGCGGUAAAAUUGCGGGGCUCAACCCCGCCGAGCCGUCGGAACCGGGGGCCUUGAGUACCGGAGAAGUACGCGGAAUGCGUGGUGUAGCGGUGAAAUGCAUAGAUAUCACGCAGAACCCCGAUUGCGAAGGCAGCGUACCGGCCGGUCACUGACGCUGAGGCACGAAAGCGCGGGUAUCGAACAGGAUUAGAUACCCUUGUAGUC
This 459-nucleotide ribosomal RNA is filed under the name uncultured bacterium. RNAcentral describes it as "partial 16S ribosomal RNA". It matches the Rfam family "Bacterial small subunit ribosomal RNA", at positions 338 to 795 of the family's 1533-position model. The record is from RNAcentral.